Molecule: long non-coding RNA, 636 nt
Organism: Ornithorhynchus anatinus (platypus)
Lineage: Eukaryota; Metazoa; Chordata; Mammalia; Monotremata; Ornithorhynchidae
Exons: 5
Source: RefSeq, a predicted model, not a curated record
CCGUCUCGUUGGUGACGUCGCCUCGUCGUCGGCUCCUUUGGCGGGCUUUUUCCGCGCAGGCGCAGACGCUCUCCCUCCUCCCGCCGCGCUGGGGAAAGUCCACCCAAAAGAGGGACAAGGCCAGGUCAUCGCUCAUCUUAAGCCAUGGGAGCCGCUGUCGAAACCGCUGCCGUUGAACCCGCGUGGAAGAGUGGCCGGUUGGACCUCAUCUUCCCCCAGCUCAGUGCCAGGGGCUGGAGGAAAGGCCAGCUGAGGAUGGAGCCGGGAGAUAAGGCAGCAGCGCUCCAGAGAGGGUAGAAAUGAUUUGUGCAGAACAGUCAUUACCCGGAACCUCCCAGCAGACGGUGAUUUCGGCAAACCAUGGACAGAUGGGCCGGAUGUUAGCGUUUUGGGAGCAGACUGUGAGGGGUGGACCUGUCCGAUGGGACGGCACAGAAGAAGCUUUUGGAAAUAAGCAGUCAGCUGUGGGGUUCUUGUCAAUCGGGGCCGGCGUUCCGGAAGAGCGCCUCGUCGCGGUGGUACCAGGGAGGACCGCCGCCCGUCAGCCGUGGAUUGAGGUUUGGGUUUUCCGGGGGUGUGUUUUUCCCACUGCCACACUCGAGUCUUCAGAAUAAAAACCAGACUGUCCCAAUGUAA